UGCACUACAGCCUAAGCAGCAAGAGCGAAACUCCACCUCAAAAAAAAAAAAAGUUAUAUAUUAGUAGAGGGAUUGUCUUAGUUGGGUUAAAUAAUCUGCUAGCUACUUUAGUAGGCAAACCUGACUUCUCAGUGAAUUGACACAGGAAAGAUUUCUUCUUCAUUAUAUCAUAGAUGGAUCUCUUUGGUAGCUCACUUUCAAUUCUGGGGCUGAAGAUACUUAACAUUUUGCAACUCUGCCAUCUUAAAGUUUUUUUUGCUUCCAGCACCACAGAUGGGAAAGAUAAAACUAGAGAACUCUUCACACCUGCCAUUUAAAGGCUUGGGCUGAAAAAAGCUUCUAAGUGUUCUUCGUCUACCCGUCACCUGCCUUUGCUGACAACAAUGUGGGAGAGCUAGAAUGCAAGACCAGAUUUCAUCACCUCCAAAGACUGCUUGUCUGCACCAGAUCCAAGCACUGUUUAUAAUGGACAUUUUGAAAAGAUUCCCCAAAUGAAGGGCCAAGUUGGUGGCUCAGGCCAGCACUUUGAGAGGCUGAGGCAAGAGGAUUGUUUGAGGCCAAAACUUCAAGAUCAGCCUGGGUAACAAAGUGAGACCCUGUCUCUAAAAAUAAAAAUAAAUAAUAAAUGUUGACAAGUGUUCCCCAAAUGAGAGAUUUAGCAGAGUGAAUUCUGCAAAGAAGGCCUCUUGCAAACACUCGUUCCUAAACAGUCAGCUCACUGGGGCAAGAGCCAACUCUCUUAAUCUAGCUGAUGUCAGUGUAACCGAAGGCCUAUAAGUCGCGGUGAGAUUCUGUCCACUAGCAGGUCUAGGGCAUGGAGGUAAAGCUAGCUCAUGAUAAGGUGGCCUCAUUUGGCAGCAAAGGCAAAUUGAAGAUUUCUUGAUCCAUAAAUCAGUCUAUAAAAAAUAAGUAAGGCUUUCAACU
Sapajus apella (tufted capuchin) is the source of this 924-nucleotide long non-coding RNA. RefSeq lists it as uncharacterized. NCBI's taxonomy places the organism in Eukaryota, Metazoa, Chordata, Mammalia, Primates, Cebidae. The record is from RefSeq and is a predicted model, not a curated record. The transcript has 2 exons.